Episyrphus balteatus (marmalade hoverfly) is the source of this 494-nucleotide long non-coding RNA. RefSeq lists it as uncharacterized. The record is from RefSeq and is a predicted model, not a curated record. Lineage: Eukaryota; Metazoa; Arthropoda; Insecta; Diptera; Syrphidae. The transcript is spliced from 3 exons.
UGAACAAAUUAUUUUGAUAUUGUUAUUUGAGUAUGAAAUUAUAUCAAAACUGUUACAAAGGCGCAAAAUUUUAAAUCAUUUUUAUAAAGGAAAAAACAAAUCUUCACCAAAGGACCCGAAAAUAGGGAAACCUGCGCCACGGAAAUUCGAAACAAAACUUUACAUCGAUAGCUUUGAACAAUGAAGUCACACCGAAGGUAAUUCACGAUGUUGGGAAGUUCUAUUUUUGGUUCGCAUCCUCAAGUUCUAUUAGAGAAAAUUCUCUGAGAUGGAAAUAUACUCGAAACUGGACCUAAUAUAAAAAUUCCAUCAAAAAGUUUCGAUUAUUAUGAAAAAUGUAAUAUUAACUGGAGAUAAAGCUAGCUUCUUUUAAAAUUAAAAAAAAAAAAACAAUGUAUUAAAAAUUAUAUCAUAUAUCGACGCCUAUGUUAAAAUUAUUAUUAUCUAGCUAGAGUGAAUGCUUAAAAUUUUGCACCAAUAUUACAUUAUUUUGA